RNAcentral lists this ribosomal RNA (253 nucleotides) under uncultured Caryophanaceae bacterium. RNAcentral describes it as "uncultured Planococcaceae bacterium partial 16S ribosomal RNA". It matches the Rfam family "Bacterial small subunit ribosomal RNA", at positions 524 to 776 of the family's 1533-position model. The record is from RNAcentral. Lineage: Bacteria; Bacillati; Bacillota; Bacilli; Caryophanales; Caryophanaceae.
UACGUAGGUGGCAAGCGUUGUCCGGAAUUAUUGGGCGUAAAGCGCGCGCAGGCGGUCCUUUAAGUCUGAUGUGAAAGCCCUCGGCUCAACCGAGGAGGGUCAUUGGAAACUGGAGGACUUGAGUGCAGAAGAGGAAAGUGGAAUUCCAAGUGUAGCGGUGAAAUGCGUAGAGAUUUGGAGGAACACCAGUGGCGAAGGCGACUUUCUGGCCUGUAACUGACGCUGAGGCGCGAAAGCGUGGGGAGCAAACAGG